CCCGGGGAAGACCAGCUGUCUCCACCUGCUCUGGUUUUUCUGCAACACCAUAGCACCCGUUUCUAGCCCUGUGAGGAUGAGGAUGGAGGUCUGCCCUGCCUGGGAAAGAAACAUGGAGCCCAUCCUCAGGGCUAUCCGGAGAAUCCAGUGAGAUAACCAUACAGAAGACCCUGAGCAUGGUGCUCGGCAAGUGUUAAGUGUCUCAAAAGAAUCACAGCAAAGGUAGAAGAACUCCAAGAACUCCAGUGGGAGCAGGGUAAAGCCAUGGACACCAGGGAGGCCACUGUGGUUGGAGAAGAACUUGAGCCAGGUGCUUUGGGAUCUGCCCGCCCCGGCUUCUGCUCACAUAGACCCCCAUCUCUGGGACUUCCUGGAGAACCGCUUCUCAGGUGAGGAGGUGACACUCAUCCAGAAGAUGUGUAACCACCUGACUCCCCUCCACAGCCUGGCUGGGCCCCCAUGUCUGCACGGGCAUCCCUUUGAAAGGCUCACUCUGAAGCACAACUAGGAGACUCCAGAGUCCAGCAGCCUUUGCGAGGCCUCUGACAUCCCCCUGCUGCCGGGGCUUCUGCCCGAGCGCCUUCUGGCAGCCAUGAGGCAGCUUGUUCACCACCCUGGAGUCCUCUCGCAAGAUGUGAACCCAAUGGAAAGAGUAAAACCUUUUGCAACAACAACAACAAAAAGAAAGGAAGAAAGAAAGAAGGAAAGAAAGAAAC
Long non-coding RNA from Suricata suricatta (meerkat), 716 nucleotides. RefSeq lists it as uncharacterized. The record is from RefSeq and is a predicted model, not a curated record. Lineage: Eukaryota; Metazoa; Chordata; Mammalia; Carnivora; Herpestidae. The transcript is spliced from 3 exons.